GACGAACGCUGGCGGCGUGCCUAAUACAUGCAAGUAGAACGCUGAAGGAGGAGCUUGCUUCUCUGGAUGAGUUGCGAACGGGUGAGUAACGCGUAGGUAACCUGCCUGGUAGCGGGGGAUAACUAUUGGAAACGAUAGCUAAUACCGCAUAAGAGUAGAUGUUGCAUGACAUUUGCUUAAAAGGUGCAAUUGCAUCACUACCAGAUGGACCUGCGUUGUAUUAGCUAGUUGGUGGGGUAACGGCUCACCAAGGCGACGAUACAUAGCCGACCUGAGAGGGUGAUCGGCCACACUGGGACUGAGACACGGCCCAGACUCCUACGGGAGGCAGCAGUAGGGAAUCUUCGGCAAUGGACGGAAGUCUGACCGAGCAACGCCGCGGGAGGGAAGAAGGUUUUCGGAUCGUAAAGCUCGGUUGUAAGAGAAGAACGAGUGUGAGAGUGGAAAGUUCACAAUGUGACGGUAUCUUACCAGAAAGGGACGGCUAACUACGUG
Molecule: ribosomal RNA, 495 nt
Filed under: uncultured bacterium
Lineage: Bacteria
Description: partial 16S ribosomal RNA
Rfam family: Bacterial small subunit ribosomal RNA
Source: RNAcentral